RNAcentral lists this long non-coding RNA (1517 nucleotides) under Sus scrofa (pig). Its description in RNAcentral is "lncRNA (ENSSSCG00000047438.1)". Lineage: Eukaryota; Metazoa; Chordata; Mammalia; Artiodactyla; Suidae. The record is from RNAcentral.
CGUUUUAGGGCUGCACCUGCAGCAUAUGAAAGUUCCCAGGCUAGGGGUCCAAUCAGAGCUGCAGCUGCUGGCCUACACCACAGCCACAGCAAUGCCAGAUCCUUAACCCACCGAGUGAACCCAUGACCUCCUGGAUACGAGUCGGGUUCAUUACUGCUGAGCCACAGCGGGAACUCCAUUUCUCCAGACCUCGGAAUGGCUUGUGCUCUCAUUUCACCUUGGUCUCUGCUCAUGCCCCAUAUCUGACUUCCUUAACCUUCUCAUCACUCACUAUGUCCUUACUCCAACCUCGUAAUUUUUUUACAGUGCUCCUCGGUUGAUUGCCUGUUCAUUCACUUGGCUUCUUGAAUAUACAUUUACGAGAAGGUAAAGUCCCCAGUGCAAGGACUGUGACACACUCACCAGCGCAUCUCUGUGCCUAGAGCAGUGCCUGGCCCCCAGAAGCGCCUCUCGUGGAAGGACACACAGGGGAUGGAUGAUCCUGCCAACAGCCGCUGAGUCAUGGGAGCACAGAGGAGGUGCCACCACUGUGAGGACAGAGGACACAGAGGCUGGGGACUGUCCGGCGGCUGGUCUGAGCUUUAGCGUAACCACCGUGAGGUCUCUAGGAUUUGUCCUCCUCCUAAGACACCUGGUCUGAGAGCUCGGAAAUCAGGCUUCCUGUCCUGGCUCUGUGGACAAUUUCCUGUGUGACCUUGGGCAGAUUAGAAAACGUGAAUUUUCGAAGCCUUGUUAUUUCAAUCACGUGAAUAAAGGCAAGGGUGUUUUUUUUUUUUAAUCUUCCAAGUCCUCACCAGCCUUACCUUUUUCUUAAUAUCAAGUUCACAUUGGUUUGUUAAUCACUGUCGUAUUUGCGCUCUGCGUUGGAACAAAGAACGCAGGAAAGGGUAAUCAAGACGCAGACAUGCAUCCCAGGGUCUCCUCCCCCUUACCAGCCAAGUCGGUACUGGACUCCCUCUUUCUCCCUGGCAAGGGACCCGGUCACUCCGUGUUUGCUAGACAGCAGCGGCCUUGUCCUUGCUAGUUCUCUCAUCUUGGGCAAAACAUGGGGCUACUCUAAGCUUCAAAUCUUUGCUGUGAAGAUGAAGUGGGAUAACACAAAUAAGACAGCUGAAAUUGCUUGUUGCUUGGCAAUUGUUACAGUGAAUACUGGCCACAUACUGACAAAAGGGCCGUGAUGGUGUUAGGCUUUGAUGAUUGCUCUCGGAGACUCCUAUAUUGAAAAUACUGUUUGGAGUUCUCCUGUAGAGCAGCAGGUUAAAGGAUCUGGCAUUGUCACUGUAGCAGCUUGGUUCCUGUUGUGGCACAGCGGAAACCACCGACUAGGAACCAUGAGGUUGAGGGUUCGAUCCUUGGCCUCACUCAGUGGGUUAAGGAUCUGGCAUUGCUGUGAGCUGUGGUGUAGGUCGUAGGUCCCAGCCGGGGCUUGGAAUCUGUGUUGCUGUGGCUGUGGUGUAGGCUGGCAGCUGUCGCUCUGAUUUGACCCCUAGCCUGGGAACCUCCAUAUGCCGUGGGUG